Molecule: non-coding RNA, 628 nt
Organism: Paramuricea clavata
Lineage: Eukaryota; Metazoa; Cnidaria; Anthozoa; Malacalcyonacea; Plexauridae
Source: the annotation of a GenBank genome assembly
GUAAUUUUGUCAUGCUAAUAAUAAGGAUCGUUAUUCUUGUUAAUUAUAUUUCGAUGAUAAUUUUCCUUAUCUUGACGUAUAGUGUUAGUCACUGGCCCUAUUUCGUAGUGUCGAGAAAGCAUUCCAGUCAGUUUCACGUUUUGUGAUCAUUGCUAUACGUUUAAGUCGAUCUCUGUCUCGUAUCAAGUUUUUUUGUAUUUUGGUUUAACCAUGGAAUGUUAUGUUUAGUUCGAAUUCGUUUGAGUUUCAGCGGAGCGUGUUUGUCAAAAACCUCCAGAAAAAGAGAUUUCCAAAGAGACCACUUACGAUCAAUGUUUGAUUCCUGAUCGAUGUGGUUCCAUGGUUGAUUAUAAAGAUCAUCGUGAAAACUAUUGCAAUUAAAAUGCUUAAAAUUGCGAAUUUCAAUAUUCUUAUGGGAAUGGGGGCCCGCUUUAGGUCCGGCUCUCCUUACUACACAAAUAAUAUUGCGGUCACUUAUGCCCGGUGGAACAACGUCCGCAGAAAAAACAUUCUCUGAAUUUGAGGUGAUACAAACGUCUAAUAAGGAUGCGGUUGUUUGAGUGAGACGCGUGGGUUGGGUAAUUAUUUGAGAAAGUUGAUACAUUUCCAUGAGUGACGUUAGUCGCUU